CACCAACCCCUGGCACGGGACCCCACCGCUCAGCUGGCUGACGAUAGCGCGUCGGGUUGCCCUCCUGAGCCGCCGCCGGUGCUGACCGGCUCAACUCAUCAGCCGUCGGCGUUCCUGUUCCUGGGGCGACACCCUCAUCGCCGUCGUCGCCGCUCCUCCAUCCCGGUUCGUAGCUCACCAGAGGCUCUCCGGCCUCGUUUGCCGUUCCUGGGCGAGGCAGCGGAGAGGGAUGCGCCCCAAGUCCGAGUGGUCUGGCCUCCAACGAUGGGAUGUCGAGGAAGAAGAUGACCACAAGCGUGAGAGCAAGCGAAGGCUUCAGCAUCAUGGCUCGAGACUGCGUGCACAAGUAGAGAGGAGUGAGUGAGUGAGCGAGCGAGCAAGGCCAGAGCUACGUGCUUAUAUACAACCCCGUACGUGCCGGCGGUUGGGGACUGGGCUGGGGUUAUAGAAUGACUUAUGAC
Molecule: long non-coding RNA, 461 nt
Filed under: Hordeum vulgare
Lineage: Eukaryota; Viridiplantae; Streptophyta; Magnoliopsida; Poales; Poaceae
Description: long non-coding RNA (HVUL_LNC005650)
Source: RNAcentral